UAUUGAAUGACAUUUAAUUACUGGUUUUUUAACAUAUAUUAAAAGAAACAUCUAUUUAAUUAGUAUUGGCGAUUGAAAAUUUUUAUGUAGUGUAUUACGUGAGUUGUAUAGUAGUUCUUUGCGAAGUUUAUGUUAAAUUUAGUACCUUUUGUAUCAUGGUCUUUUAAGAUUUUACUUUUAAAGGAGAGUGUCCCGAAACAAAGUGAGUUAUCUUUAAACUAGUAUUAGUGUUGUAAAACUAAUAGUAGAUUUCUAGAUGGGAGUGAAAUGCUUGUCGCACUUUGUGAUAGCUGGUUUACUGAGAAAUAUAUAUUAGUAUUGGCUUAUUUUAGGACUAAGUUAAUAUUUUAAAUGGGUUAGUUUUAAAUAGGACUCAUUUAUAGGGGGAUUAGCUCUUGUAGUUGGUAUUAUAAAUAUUGUUAAUGUAUAUAUUUAAAAUAGGCUUAAGAUUAGCUAUUUUGUGGAGUUUGUUAAAAAUUAUUUUAAUGUGAUUUUUAAUUAUUAUAUAAUAUUUUAAUGUAAUAUCGGUAUUAUUAAUAUUUUUAUUAAUAUUUGAUUUAAUUCUGGAAGAAUGAGUAGUUGUUGUAUAUAAAUUAUUUAUUUAUUUAAAUGAAUAAGUAUUUUAGUUAUGUGGUUAUUUAGAAAUCCUAUAAAGGAACUUGGCAAAUUUUAGCUUCGCCUGUUUAUCAAAAACAUGGUUCUCUGCGAGUUGAUAAUGCGGAUAGAGAAUCUGACCUGCCCAGUGAUUUAACAUUAAACGGCCGCGGUACCUUGACCGUGCAAAGGUAGCAUAAUCAUUCGCUUUUUAAUUGAAGGCUAGUAUGAAUGGUUUGACGUGGGCUAUGCUGUCUCUAUAGGAUUUAUUUGAAAUUAAUUUUUAGGUGAAAAAGCCUAAAUUUAGUUAUGGGACGAGAAGACCCCGUUGAGCUUAAAUUAUUUUUUGUAAAUUUUUGACUAUUUAUUGAUUAGUAAUUUAUAGAUGUGUUUUUAAUAGGGGAAGAUAGGGGAAUAGUUAAAAUUUCCCUUGUUAAUUUAAUUAUUUACUGUUUGUUGGCGGAUAGAUAUAGUAAUAUUGAUCCACGUAUUAUGUGAUUAAGGGACAAAGUUACCACGGGGAUAACAGCGUAAUUUCUUCUGGAGAGUUCUAAUUGAAGGGAGGGUUUGCGACCUCGAUGUUGGACUAGGACAUCCUGGAGGUGUAGAAGUUUCUAAGGGUUGGUCUGUUCGACCAUUAAAGUCCUACAUGAUCUGAGUUCAGACCGGCGUAAGCCAGGUUGGUUUCUAUCUUUAAUUUAUGAAAUGUGCAUCUAGUUAGUACGAAAGGAUCACUACGGUGUGAAUACUUCAUACUUAUAAUGAUUUAUAAAUGUAUGU
Molecule: ribosomal RNA, 1374 nt
Filed under: Notocrater youngi
Lineage: Eukaryota; Metazoa; Mollusca; Gastropoda; Lepetellida; Pseudococculinidae
Description: 16S ribosomal RNA
Rfam family: Archaeal large subunit ribosomal RNA (bases 586-1374)
Source: RNAcentral